This is a non-coding RNA of Salmo salar (Atlantic salmon), 1533 nucleotides long. NCBI's taxonomy places the organism in Eukaryota, Metazoa, Chordata, Actinopteri, Salmoniformes, Salmonidae. The record is from RefSeq and is a predicted model, not a curated record.
UGAACUGCAACUCAGUAAAAUCGUUGAAAUGGUUGUAUGUUGCGUUUAUAUUUUUGUUCAGUAUAUAAUCCACUAGAAAGAUGUUAAUAGGUUGUGUGUUUGACUGUAUUCUAGUGCACCAUCCCCUGUCUUUCUUUCUCCCAGUUCCACCUGGUCAGUGGUGGGACACAUUGAGGACAGAUGGUCCUCCAGGCCUCUUCCAGGGAAUGACCAGCACCUGGCUCUGAGAGGUGCCUGGGUGUAUGGGAUCUGCAGAACCCUGGCCAGUCCAAUGUUGGCUUGGACGCUGUCCCACUCUUAAUCAGUGGGGGAGUUGGGGGGGAGCGGCUUUUGGUUGGCAGUGUCAAAUACAGAAUCCAGGUUCACUCCAUGUCAGGCAAGCAGGCUGGGUUUCUCAGAACACUGCUCGGUAUCAUAAGGACAGACGGUGACAACAUUUUCCUCCACAUUAUUUUUAAUAAUCUGAUUGUACAGUUUAUCCAAGGUCUUCUAAACUAGGUGCAUUCUGUGAAUCUCAAAUGUAGUGUUAAUCAGUAAACUUCUGAUUGAUUUAUCGCCCAAUCAUUCCUUUCAUGUUGGCAGCUUUGUUUUCCAGAUAACAGAAAUUAAUUAACUCAUUAUCUACAGAAGAUUAGGAUUGCCCCCACAUUUAAUGCGAUACGGUUUAGCAGUAUGAGCUAUUUAGUUUGUGAUAGUGAUAGCUUUGUCCGUCACAGCUUUCUAGUUUGAGCCCCUUUAGAUUUCACAUGUAUGGGAUUUUAUGUAUGCAUGAUGUGCUUGAUGGUGUAUUGCCUCUGUUCCAGGUGUCCCUGCUUUGUAUUCUGGCCUAACCCCCACUUCCCCUCCAACGGAGCUCUAUUCCUGGCUUAUGAGUGGACGAGAAGAGCCCCCCUCUACCACACAUCUGCAUCCUGAGUUAGUUUGUAGAUUUUGUUGUUUGUUGAUGGGGCAGAAGAGGUUUGAAAAUUCAAAUUCCCCAAAAAUGCAUUAACAUCUACAAAGCUCUAAAACUACAUUGUUCAUUUGUGUUAACCUCUGAUCUUGUUUUGACCAUGUUUUCUAUGUCUGGGGUGUAUUCACUAAGAACCCAGUCGAACCAAAUGUAAUGAAACGGGGAGGGACCUACCUGAAUUUGUCCAAUAGAAACACUUUUUAUUUUGCAAAAUGUUUUUUGGUUUGGAGCAAACGGUUACCGUUGCAAAACAUUUUGCUAUGGUCUUCGUCUAAUGAAUACACCCCUGGUCAAUAGGUCUAAUGUCUAGACACUGAACUUAAUGAGUCAGUACACAAUCAAAGGACUCUAUGCACUACAACAACUCCAACAUUCCAGCCACUGGUCCGAGACCAGCAUUACACAAUUUCACACAGGAUCUGUUGUGUUGUCAACUAGUUUAAAAAAAUGAUCCUUCUAUUUACGGUAUAUGUGUAAAUAAAAGCUUUACGUAUUACAUUAUAUAGCUACAGCACAGCUCAACACUGUUAUAUUUUGUGUUAUGUUUAUUAUUUUUUCUACAUUAAAUAUAUGUUACAUAC